UACGGAGGGUGCGAGCGUCGCUCGGAAUUAUUGGGCGUAAAGCGCACGUAGGCGGCUUAGCAAGUUGGAUGUGAAAGCCCUCGGCUUAACCAAGGAAGUGCAUCCAAAACUGCUGAGCUUGAGUAGUUAAGAGGAUCGCGGAAUUCCCGGUGUAGAGGUGAAAUUCGUAGAUAUCGGGAGGAACACCAGUGGCGAAGGCGGCGAUCUGGGAACAUACUGACGCUGAGGUGCGAAAGCGUGGGGAGCAAACAGG
RNAcentral lists this ribosomal RNA (253 nucleotides) under uncultured bacterium. RNAcentral's name for it is "partial 16S ribosomal RNA". It matches the Rfam family "Bacterial small subunit ribosomal RNA", at positions 524 to 776 of the family's 1533-position model. The record is from RNAcentral.